This 643-nucleotide long non-coding RNA is filed under the name Malus domestica (apple). RNAcentral's name for it is "long non-coding RNA (MDOM_LNC000392)". The record is from RNAcentral. Lineage: Eukaryota; Viridiplantae; Streptophyta; Magnoliopsida; Rosales; Rosaceae.
CGUGGCUUGACUGUGCGGUUGUAGGCUCUACUAACUUGUUGGUAGUAUAGGGCUACUUUCCUAACUGCUUUUGCCUUUUUUUCCUUGAGUAACUCAAGGUCUUUCCACCUCCAGCUUACGUAUGCUACGACAUCCCAUUACACAUCAUUGAAUGGUGAAACUCUUGUUGUGAGCAUCAACAUUUCCAUAGGGGAAAUAGCUUCAGAUCCAUACGCUAAGGAGUAAGGAGAAAAACCAGUAAUGUUCUUUAGAGAUGUACGAUCGGCCCAUAUGACGUCUGGGAGAUGCAUGUUUCGACCCACAACAUAGUUGUGUACCAUCUUGUUUAGUAUCCUUAGCAAUGUCUUAUUUGUGGCUUCGGCUUGACUAUUUCCCUAGGGAUAAUACGGCGUGCUGCGACAGUGUUUGUCCUGUAAGCAUCAAGUGUGGCACUUACUUGUUUGUUCACAAAAGGUGUGCUAUUGUAGUUCACUAUCUUGUAAGGUAUCCAAAUAGGCAAACGAUGCAUUCCCUGAUGAAAUUGGAUAAUACUGCUCCUAUUGUUUUCCUUAGACGGAUUGUUUUCACCCACUUUGUGAAGUACUCAGUGGCUACUAAGAUCCAUAUGUGACCUUCAGAAGCUAGGUUGAUGGUUCCUAUCAAA